CUGUGGGUGCGUGUAUCAAACG
This 22-nucleotide unclassified non-coding RNA is filed under the name Chlamydomonas reinhardtii. RNAcentral's name for it is "small RNA Cre_1528". The record is from RNAcentral. Lineage: Eukaryota; Viridiplantae; Chlorophyta; Chlorophyceae; Chlamydomonadales; Chlamydomonadaceae.